GACGAACGCUGGCGGCGUGCUUAACACAUGCGAGUCGAACGGAAAGGCCCUGCUUUUGUGGGGUGCUCGAGUGGCGAACGGGUGAGUAACACGUGAGUAACCUGCCCUUGACUUUGGGAUAACUUCAGGAAACUGGGGCUAAUACCGGAUAGGAGCUCCUGCUGCAUGGUGGGGGUUGGAAAGUUUCGGCGGUUGGGGAUGGACUCGCGGCUUAUCAGCUUGUUGGUGGGGUAGUGGCUUACCAAGGCUUUGACGGGUAGCCGGCCUGAGAGGGUGACCGGCCACAUUGGGACUGAGAUACGGCCCAGACUCCUACGGGAGGCAGCAGUGGGGAAUAUUGCACAAUGGGCGGAAGCCUGAUGCAGCAACGCCGCGUGCGGGAUGACGGCCUUCGGGUUGUAAACCGCUUUCGCCUGUGACGAAGCGUGAGUAACGGUAAUGGGUAAAGAAGCACCGGCUAACUACGUG
RNAcentral lists this ribosomal RNA (468 nucleotides) under uncultured bacterium. Its description in RNAcentral is "partial 16S ribosomal RNA". It matches the Rfam family "Bacterial small subunit ribosomal RNA", at positions 28 to 507 of the family's 1533-position model. The record is from RNAcentral.